GGCGGCGUCCUGAACGAGUUUCAUCCCUAUCACUUUGUAGCGAGGGUAUUGUCCUCGCUAGAGUUUGACGGGUAACGGAGAUUUAGGGAUCGACUCCGGAGAGGGGGCCUGAGAAAUGGCCACCACAUCUAAGGAAGGCAGCAGGCGCGCAAAUUCCCCAAUCCAGACAUUGGGAGGGAGCGACAAGAAAUAGCAAUAGAGGGCCUUUCGGCUUUCUAAUUGAAAUGAGAACAAGUUAAAGCUCUUAUCGAGUAACAAUUGUAGGGCAAGUCUGGUGCCAGCAGCCGCGGUAAUUCCAGCUACAAUAGCGUAUAUUAAAGUUGUUGCAGUUAAAAAGCUCGUAGUUGAAUUUUGAUGAGUUCUUGAGAGAGUUCAAUUUUCCCUUAUGGUCGGCCGAAAGGCCAGCACUGUUUGGGAGAAGCUUAUCUUUUGGAGCGUUUGGGGCAACACACACUCCUUGUUUACUUUGAAUAAAAGAGACUGUUCAAAGAAGGCGUUCGCUUAUAUCUCUUAGCAUGGCAUAAUAAAAUAUGACUUUGGGUCUAUUUUGUUGGUUCCUGGACACGAAGUAAUGAUAAAUAGGAACGGUUGGGGCCCUUGAUACUACACAGCUAGAGGUGAAAUUCUUGGAUUUGUGUAUGAUCAACUUCUGCGAAGGCAUUGGGCAAGGACGUUUUCAUUAAUCAAGAACGAAAGAUAAGGGAUCGAAGAUGAUUAGAUACCGUCGUAGUCUUGUCAGUAAACUAUGCCGUCUGACAAUCGUGCGGUGUUAAUUUAAAACGACCCGCACGGCAGUCCGAGAGAAAUCAAAGAUUUUGGGUUCCGGGGGGAGUAUGGUCGCAAGACUGAAACUUAAAGGAAUUGACGGAAGGGCACCACCAGGAGUGGAGCUUGCGGCUUAAUUUGACCCAACACGGGGAAACUUACCAGGUCCAGACAUUUGAAGGAUUGACAGGUUGAUAGCCCUUUCUUGAUUAGAUGGGUGGUGGUGCAUGGCCGUUCUUAGUUGGUGGUGUGAACUGUCUGCUUGAUUGCGAUAACGAACGAGACCUCCACCAUUAAAUAGUUUCACCGAGAUCUCUGGGUGGAGCUUCUUAAUGGGACUGCAUGUUUCAAGCAUGAGGAAGUUGGAGGCAAUAACAGGUCUGUGAUGCCCUUAGAUGUUCUGGGCUGCACGCGCGCUACACUGCGUACAGCAACGAGUUUAGGUGAACGGGGCAACUCGCUCACUGCCUGGGCCGAUAGGCUUGGGAAAUCUUUUUAAAUGUACGCGUGAUUGGGCUAGGUGAUUGCAAUUAUUCGUCUUCAACGAGGAAUUCCUAGUAAGUGCGUUUCAUCAGAGCGCGCUGAUUACGUCCCUGCCCUUUGUACACACCGCCCGUCGCUCCUACCGAUUGGACGUUCCGGUGAGCUUUCGAGAGAUUGGGUUUUCUGGGCAACCAGGAUUCUCGAUCGAACUUACGCAAAUCAUAACGUCUAGAGGAAGGAGAAGUCGUAACAAGGUU
RNAcentral lists this ribosomal RNA (1505 nucleotides) under metagenome. RNAcentral's name for it is "SSU rRNA". It matches the Rfam family "Eukaryotic small subunit ribosomal RNA", at positions 286 to 1801 of the family's 1831-position model. The record is from RNAcentral.